AUGAAUUCCUUUGUUAUAAGAGCAGCUAAACCUUAUUUGGCCACUACAGGAGCAACUAUUAAUGGUUAUUAUGGAGAAAUCCUUUACAAGGGAGAUAGGUUAGUUACGUUUAUAUAUGAAAAAUCGAGAUCUAGUGACAUAAUGCAAGAUCUUCCAAAAGUGGAACAAAUCUUUGAAGCGCGUUCAAUUGAUUCAUUAUCCCCGAAUCUCGAAAGGAAAAUUGAGGAUUGGAAUGAGCGUAUACCAAGAAUUCUUGGGGUCCCUUGGGGAUUCUUGAUUGGAGCUGAGCUAACCAUAGCCCAAAGUCGUAUCUCUUUGGUUAAUAAAAUCCAAAAGGUUUAUCGAUCCCAAGGGGUUCAGAUCCAUAAUAGACAUAUAGAGAUUAUUAUACGCCAAGUAACAUCAAAAGUGCGGGUUUCCGAAGAUGGAAUGUCUAAUGUUUUUUCGCCUGGGGAAUUAAUCGGACUAUUGCGAGCGGAACGAGCAGGACGAGGUUUGGAUGAAUCGAUCUAUUAUCGGGCAAUCUUAUUGGGAAUAACAAGGGCUUCCCUGAAUACCCAAAGUUUCAUAUCUGAAGCAAGUUUUCAAGAAACUGCUCGAGUAUUAGCAUAA
This 612-nucleotide ribosomal RNA is filed under the name Triticum aestivum (bread wheat). Its description in RNAcentral is "partial small subunit ribosomal RNA". Lineage: Eukaryota; Viridiplantae; Streptophyta; Magnoliopsida; Poales; Poaceae. The record is from RNAcentral.